Molecule: non-coding RNA, 20 nt
Filed under: Arabidopsis thaliana (thale cress)
Lineage: Eukaryota; Viridiplantae; Streptophyta; Magnoliopsida; Brassicales; Brassicaceae
Source: RNAcentral
CACAGAGAAGAUCGGUCUUG